CAGCUCAAAUUUGAAAUCUGGCCCCGUCGGGGUCCGAGUUGUAAUUUGUAGAGAGUGUUUCGGGUGACACCACGGUCUAAGUCUAUUGGAACAUGGCGUCAUAGAGGGUGAGAAUCCCGUAUGUGACCGUGGCUCGAGCCCAUGUGAAGCCUCUUCGACGAGUCGAGUUGUUUGGGAAUGCAGCUCAAAAUGGGUGGUAAAUUUCAUCUAAAGCUAAAUACUGGCUGGAGACCGAUAGCGCACAAGUAGAGUGAUCGAAAGAUGAAAAGCACUUUGGAAAGAGAGUCAAAAAGUACGUGAAAUUGUUGAAAGGGAAGCGCUUGCAACCAGACCUGUCCGUAGGUGAUCAGCCGCUGUUCUCAGCGGUGCACUCGCUCUGCGAUCAGGCCAGCAUCGGUUUCGGCGGUCGGAUAAAGGCCUUGGGAAUGUAGCUUCCUUCGGGGAGUCUUAUAGCCCUCGGUGCAAUGCGGCCAGCCGGGACCGAGGACCGCGCUUCGGCUAGGAUGCUGGCGUAAUGGUUGUAAGCGACCCGUCUUGAAACACGGACCAAGGAGUCUAACAUCUAUGCGAGUGUUUGGGUGUCAAACCCAUGCGCGGAAUGAAAGUGAACGGAGGUGAGAACCCUUUAGGGCGCAUCAUCGACCGAUCCAGAUGUCUUCGGAUGGAUUUGAGUAUGAGCAUAGCUGUUGGGACCCGAAAGAUGGUGAACUAUGCCUGAAUAGGGUGAAGCCAGAGGAAACUCUGGUGGAGGCUCGCAGCGGUUCUGACGUGCAAAUCGAUCGUCAAAUUUGGGUAUAGGGGCGAAAGACUAAUCGAACCAUCUAGUAGCUGGUUCCUGCC
RNAcentral lists this ribosomal RNA (840 nucleotides) under Usnea rubicunda. RNAcentral describes it as "LSU rRNA". It matches the Rfam family "Eukaryotic large subunit ribosomal RNA", at positions 104 to 962 of the family's 3401-position model. Lineage: Eukaryota; Fungi; Ascomycota; Lecanoromycetes; Lecanorales; Parmeliaceae. The record is from RNAcentral.